RNAcentral lists this ribosomal RNA (479 nucleotides) under uncultured bacterium. RNAcentral's name for it is "bacterial SSU rRNA". It matches the Rfam family "Bacterial small subunit ribosomal RNA", at positions 28 to 507 of the family's 1533-position model. The record is from RNAcentral.
GACGAACGCUGGCGGCGUGCUUAACACAUGCAAGUCGAACGAGAAUCUACUGAAAGAGUUUUCGGACAAUGGAUGUAGAGGAAAGUGGCGGACGGGUGAGUAACGCGUGAGGAACCUGCCUUGAAGAGGGGGACAACAGUUGGAAACGACUGCUAAUACCGCAUAAGCCCACGGCUCGGCAUCGAGCAGAGGGAAAGGAGUGAUCCGCUUUGAGAUGGCCUCGCGUCCGAUUAGCUAGUUGGUGAGGUAAUGGCCCACCAAGGCAACGAUCGGUAGCCGGACUGAGAGGUUGAACGGCCACAUUGGGACUGAGACACGGCCCAGACUCCUACGGGAGGCAGCAGUGGGGAAUAUUGCACAAUGGGGGAAACCCUGAUGCAGCGACGCCGCGUGGAGGAAGAAGGUCUUCGGAUUGUAAACUCCUGUUGUUGAGGAAGAUAAUGACGGUACUCAACAAGGAAGUGACGGCUAACUACGUG